RNAcentral lists this ribosomal RNA (500 nucleotides) under uncultured bacterium. RNAcentral's name for it is "partial 16S ribosomal RNA". It matches the Rfam family "Bacterial small subunit ribosomal RNA", at positions 29 to 523 of the family's 1533-position model. The record is from RNAcentral.
AUUGAACGCUGGCGGCAUGCCUUACACAUGCAAGUCGAACGGCAGCACGGGAGCAAUCCUGGUGGCGAGUGGCGAACGGGUGAGUAAAGUAUCGGAACGUGCCCAGUCGUGGGGGAUAACGUAGCGAAAGUUACGCUAAUACCGCAUACGAUCUAUGGAUGAAAGCGGGGGAUCGCAAGACCUCGCGCGAUUGGAGCGGCCGAUAUCAGAUUAGGUAGUUGGUGGGGUAAAGGCUCACCAAGCCGACGAUCUGUAGCUGGUCUGAGAGGACGACCAGCCAAACUGGGAAUGAGACACGGCCCAGACUCCUACGGGAGGCAGCAGUGGGGAAUUUUCCACAAUGGGGGCAACCCUGAUGGAGCAAUGCGGCGUGAGAGAAGAAGGCCUUCGGGUUGUAAAUCUCUGUAGUAAGGGAGGAACAGUAUAAGUAGGAAAUGGCUUAUACCUGACAAUACCUUACGAGAAAGCCACGGCUAACUACGUGCCAGCAGCCGCCGUAA